Molecule: ribosomal RNA, 293 nt
Filed under: uncultured microorganism
Description: partial 16S ribosomal RNA
Rfam family: Bacterial small subunit ribosomal RNA
Source: RNAcentral
GUGCCAGCAGCCGCGGUAAUACGUAGGGUGCGAGCGUUAAUCGGAAUUACUGGGCGUAAAGCGUGCGCAGGCGGUUUUGUAAGACAGACGUGAAAUCCCCGGGCUUAACCUGGGNAACUGCGUUUGUGACUGCAAGGCUAGAGUAUGGCAGAGGGGGGUAGAAUUCCACGUGUAGCAGUGAAAUGCGUAGAUAUGUGGAGGAAUACCGAUGGCGAAGGCAGCCCCCUGGGUCAAUACUGACGCCCAUGCACGAAAGCGUGGGGAGCAAACAGGAUUAGAUACCCUGGUAGUCC